Molecule: long non-coding RNA, 264 nt
Filed under: Sinocyclocheilus anshuiensis
Lineage: Eukaryota; Metazoa; Chordata; Actinopteri; Cypriniformes; Cyprinidae
Description: lncRNA (ENSSANG00000039693.1)
Source: RNAcentral
CUGAGGACUUAGUGUCACCGAAGGCCCUGCUAGAAGAAAGCAGAAGGCGAGCAGAAACACUUGAGAAGGAGAGAGACCAAGCCUUACAAAAACUGCAUGAUUUUGAACCUCCCCAGCAGGGUAAAAGAGAAAGAAUCUCCACCAGAGUCUAAAAAACAGAAACCUGCUGGUUCAGACCUUGUAGAUCCUAACCAACAGAGGAGGCUGGUCACCGAGCAGGUGCUACACAGUGUGCAUAGUAAAACUCCUAAACACUUCAGCAGA